Molecule: long non-coding RNA, 228 nt
Filed under: Mytilus galloprovincialis (Mediterranean mussel)
Lineage: Eukaryota; Metazoa; Mollusca; Bivalvia; Mytilida; Mytilidae
Source: RNAcentral
AGAUGUUGCCCUUUUAUGUAAUUAUGUAAUACAAGUUACGAUCAUUUGAAAACACAUAUUAAACAGCCAAAUGGAUGCACAAGAGCUAAAAUAGAAGUCAUAGAUCCUAUUGACAACAAUUAUCUGCCCAAUUUUAUUGAUUUUGUAACAUUUGUUUCAAAUAUGACCAACUUCUUAUCCAAAAUCACCAGCACCGUAUCAGGACCCACCAGCACAAUGACAGGACCC